AUGGCUCAUCAAGCAGGAAAUUGUCAUCAGCAGCAUUAGCACUGUUACUAGAUUCAGCAAUAUAUUCAUGUCUUACUGAUUUUGUAUCAAUCUCAUAUUGUCCAGGUAAACUGAAUAAGUUUUGGUCAUCUGGAAGAUCAGAACCAUACUGAGUUUCCCCCUGGUCAAUUAUAGGCUUUUGAUCAUCUCCACUGAAGUUUCCAGAGUGCUCCACAUAGUUACUUGUUUCUCCAUGGUAGUAGUUCACAGAAAGGGCAGCAUUUUCAGACACAACUCCACCCUCAAAAUUCUGCUCAAGGUCAUUAGUUUCCACAUGUACAUCUUCACCAAGUAUUACUUCAUCAGCCAUCACCAUCUCCUCACCAGGUAAUACAACCACCACUUCAUCAUCAUCCCAUUCUUCCUCAACAAAUGGUGCCCCAUACUGUUCUCCAUUCUUUGGCCCUGUUCCACUCUUUUG
Molecule: unclassified non-coding RNA, 460 nt
Filed under: Hevea brasiliensis (rubber tree)
Lineage: Eukaryota; Viridiplantae; Streptophyta; Magnoliopsida; Malpighiales; Euphorbiaceae
Source: RNAcentral